GACGAACGCUGGCGGCGUGCUUAACACAUGCAAGUCGAACGAAGUGGCGAACGGGUGAGUAACGCGUAAUCAACCUGCCCUUCAGAGGGGGACAACAGUUGGAAACGACUGCUAAUACCGCAUACUGAAGGAGGGGAUUGCGUCUGAUUAGCUAGUUGGAGGGGUAACGGCCCACCAAGGGGCGGAUCAGUAGCCGGGCCUAUGUGAAGAACGACCAAAUUGGGAACUGGGACCGGCCCAGACCCCUACGGGAGGUAGGCGUGGGGAAACUUUGGAAAUGGAUGACAGUCUUACGGAGCACCGCCGCGUGGGUGUUGACGGCCUUCGGGUUGGUAAGGUCUGUUAAUCGGGACGCGGUACCGGAAUAGUAAGCCACGGCUAACUACGUGCCAGCAGCCGCGGUAAUAC
Molecule: ribosomal RNA, 408 nt
Filed under: uncultured bacterium
Lineage: Bacteria
Description: partial 16S ribosomal RNA
Rfam family: Bacterial small subunit ribosomal RNA
Source: RNAcentral